This 394-nucleotide unclassified non-coding RNA is filed under the name soil metagenome. Its description in RNAcentral is "partial contains 5.8S ribosomal RNA, internal transcribed spacer 2, and large subunit ribosomal RNA". The stretch from base 1 to 122 matches the Rfam family "5.8S ribosomal RNA", at positions 35 to 154 of the family's 154-position model. The record is from RNAcentral.
GAUGAAGAACGCAGUGAAAUGCGAUACUUGGUGUGAAUUGCAGAAUCCCGUGAACCAUCGAGUCUUUGAACGCAAGUUGCGCCCGAAGCCAUCAGGUUGAGGGCACGUCUGCCUGGGCGUCACAUAUCGUUGCCCAAUGCCUAUUGCAGUGCAAUAGGAAUUUCUAGGGCGAAUGAUGGCUUCCCGUGAGCGUUGUUGCCUCGCGGUUGGUUGAAAAUCGAGUCCUUGGUAGGGUGUGCCAUGGUAGAUGGUGGUCGAGUUAGAACGAUACCGAUCAUGUGCAUGCUCCCCAAAAUAUGGCCUCUAUGACCCACACGCGUCUUUUGACGCUCAUGACGAGACCUCAGGUCAGGCGGGGCUACCCGCUGAAUUUAAGCAUAUCAUAAGCGGAGGA